Molecule: long non-coding RNA, 2274 nt
Organism: Maniola jurtina (meadow brown)
Lineage: Eukaryota; Metazoa; Arthropoda; Insecta; Lepidoptera; Nymphalidae
Exons: 2
Source: RefSeq, a predicted model, not a curated record
AGUGGGCUGAGAUGAAAACAGGCUAACCUGGAAGGGGUAUUGCAGUUUUGUAUGUACAUAGCAUACUUUUUAAGAAAUAUCAGUUUUGUUAAUUCCUACCACUCACUCUCACACACACACACACAGUAUAUUGUUACACACUCACACAUUUUGGGGAUUAGCCCCUUUAGCAAAAAUACGGCAUAUAUUGUGUUAAUCUGAGAUGUCGAUUCCCCAGCGAGCAGGUCUUCUAAGGCUUGAGGCACAUUGCUGCAGAAACGAAGCGAAGUGGCAUGUCUUUUCUAUACUGAUACAAAGUAAACUCAACUUUAUCUCCACUUGUAUACAGUUGGUUAUGAAGUUAGCAAUACCUAAAGAUUUUUUAUGUAAAAAAAUAGCGAGCAAAUGAGCAGUCGGGUCACCUGAAGUUCUAGAUUUCUAGAAUCUAGAUUCUAGAUGAUAGUGGAGGGCAUAUUGUGCACAUAGGUACUGCCCGCUGUGAUGAACCAAUGUGUAGACGCACAGGCAUCCGUGCUGUUGCAUCUAACAUCGUAUAAACAAAUAGAUCGAUAAAUCAUUUACUGCACAGAUUUUAGGUCUGAUGCCAACUGACACUUUCACAGUAAUUGUGAAACAAAACUAAUAAGACUGAAAGAAUAUGCGUGUCGAUUUGUUUCUUUGUUGAAAUGAUUCCUGAUAAAACGUUCACUGUAAAUAGUGCUGAUAAGUUCAGUUUACUUUGAACCAUUUUAGAAACGACGCGUCUUAGUCGCCCGCAAUAUGUCUUGACCCUAAGUUUAACAAAUAAUCCCACUUUUACUGUAAUCUAUAUGAUGAAUUGGAUCUUUACACAUACAAAAGUAGUUGAUUGCGACGGUCAAUAUGACCGCGGAACUCUAGACCGCUCUCUGUGGAAUCUACGCCAAACAUAGUAUAGUCUAGGAGCUAGGAGUUAAUAAAAAAGCAUAUUUGUGCAAAUGAUAUGCAGGCUGUCUCUCUCAUUGCUUUAUUUAUUGAUUUAUUUAUUUUUGCUCAUUGACUACAUUCAAAGAAACAUUAAAUUUCAAAAACACUUUACACUCCUUUUUUAUUUUUAACCUUUUUUUGAAACACAAUGAAUUCUAUAUUAAAUACAAAUCUUAUAUUAUGAAAGGGCCAAAAUUUUUUGUAUGGCAAAAAUAAAUUUCGACUUAAUGAUUAGUCAAAUCACUAUUUAAGAUACAAAUUCGUAUCUUAUUAAAUUCAUUCUUUGUCUUUAAAUGUUUACUUAAAAUUAUGGGCUAAUUUUCUUCAUUAUGCUACGAAAAUGCCAAAUUUCACUGUAAAUUCAAAAAAUCACAAAUCACAUGAAAUAUUACAUAGAACAAUAAUUUUAUUAGAAACAUUCAAAAUUAUCUAGUCAGGCUUAGGCUGGCCGCAUAUUAUCGAAAACUGGCUAAUUCUAUUGUACUAAAAUGACAGCUUGUGUAAAUAUAUUGCCAUCCCUCUCAUAAUACUCCCUGUGGAUAAAGAUAGCACUAGAUUUGGACCUGUCAUUUUAGUUUACAGAUUGUGUGCAAUAGAAUAAGCCUUCCUGAUAAUAUGCGGCCAGCUUUGAAAAAAAAAUGCAUUUAUAAUUUAUUUAUUCACAUCACAUCAGAAACCACAUAUCAUUUGCAUGAAAAAUUAGGCAAUUAAUUCAUCAUACAUAUUAUAACAUACGAGGUGCUUAAGGGCUUAUAAUUUAUCAUACCUAUUAUACUGUUUCCAUCUUCCAAAAAAGGUUAAUGUGAUUUUUUUUUGUGACAGCCUAUUUGGUUACUGUAAUUUUUUUUAGUUUUCGGACUAGUUUUUUUAUAAUUAUUAGAACAUCGUCCAUCUCGCUCUUGAGUAUGUCUCGCUCGUAAAUGUUGGUUGAAAUAGCAUGUACGCACCGAAAUACCGAAGAGAGUACUCUUAAUAGUCUGUUACUAACCAUAUUUCUCUUUUUUCUGAAUAAAUUACUAUUAAAUAGCAUGAAGAAAAAAAAUGUAUUAAACUAUUGUGUAAUUAUAGUUUGAAAAUCACUGAAGCAUAUUUUUCCAUUGUAAUUUAAGUGUUUCAUUGAAACUAAUUCACAUGUUAUAUCAUAAUAUCAUAGUCAACGAGUCAAUGAUUUAAAUUGGUAUAGUUUGUUAAAAGUUCUAAAACUGUUACUGUAAAUGGUUUCAACUUUUACGAAAAAUGCCCCUCAAUUUAUUUCGUGGACUCUUGCACUAUUUUGAGUAGUGUAGUACACUAAACCUACCUUAAAAUUGGACAAUAGACAAUAUCUCA